GAAACUCAAAUGAAUUGACGGGGCCCGCACGAAGCGGUGGAGCAUGUGGUUUAAUUCGAUGCAACGCGAAGAACCUUACCUGGGCUUGACAUCCCUGGAAUCCCCUGGAAACGAGGGGAGUGCCCUUCGGGGAGCCAGGAGACAGGUGCUGCAUGGCUGUCGUCAGCUCGUGUCGUGAGAUGUUGGGUUAAGUCCCGCAACGAGCGCAACCCUUGUCAUUAGUUGCUACAUUCAGUUGGGCACUCUAAUGAGACUGCCGGUGACAAGCCGGAGGAAGGUGGGGAUGACGUCAAGUCCUCAUGGCCCUUAUAGGUGGGGCUACACACGUCAUACAAUGGCUGGUACAAAGGGUUGCCAACCCGCGAGGGGGAGCCAAUCCCAUAAAGCCAGUCGUAGUCCGGAUCGUAGUCUGCAACUCGACUACGUGAAGUCGGAAUCGCUAGUAAUCGUGGAUCAGAAUGUCACGGUGAAUACGUUCCCGGGUCUU
Molecule: ribosomal RNA, 487 nt
Filed under: uncultured Desulfuromonadales bacterium
Lineage: Bacteria; Pseudomonadati; Thermodesulfobacteriota; Desulfuromonadia; Desulfuromonadales
Description: bacterial SSU rRNA
Rfam family: Bacterial small subunit ribosomal RNA
Source: RNAcentral